GAUGAACGCUGGCGGCGUGCCUAAUACAUGCAAGUCGAGCGAACAGACGAGGAGCUUGCUCCUCUGACGUUAGCGGCGGACGGGUGAGUAACACGUGGAUAACCUACCUAUAAGACUGGGAUAACUUCGGGAAACCGGAGCUAAUACCGGAUAAUAUAUUGAACCGCAUGGUUCAAUAGUGAAAGACGGUUUUGCUGUCACUUAUAGCUGGAUCCGCGCCGCAUUAGCUAGUUGGUAAGGUAACGGCUUACCACGGCAACGAUGCGUAGCCGAACUGAGAGGGUGAUCGGCCACACUGGAGCUGAGACACGGUCCAGACUCCUACGGGAGGCAGCAGUAGGGAAUCUUCCGCAAUGGGCGAAAGCUUGACAGAGCAACGCCGCGUGAGUGAUGAAGGUCUUCGGAUCGUAAAACUCUGUUAUUAGGGAAGAACAAAUGUGUAAGUAACUAUGCACGUCUUGACGGUACCUAAUCAGAAAGCCACGGCUAACUACGUG
Molecule: ribosomal RNA, 497 nt
Filed under: uncultured bacterium
Lineage: Bacteria
Description: partial 16S ribosomal RNA
Rfam family: Bacterial small subunit ribosomal RNA
Source: RNAcentral